AGAGUUUGAUCCUGGCUCAGAACGAACGUUGGCGGCAUGGAUUAGGCAUGCAAGUCGAACGAAUGCUAUUUGGGAAACUGGAUAGCGGAAGUGGCGAAAGGGGCAGUAAUACAUGGAUAACCUACCCUGGGGAUGGGCAUAGCCGUUCUAACGAGCGGGUAAUUCCCAGAGAGUCGACGUGGUGGCAUCAUCGUGUCGGGAAAUGAAUUUCGCCUCGGGAGGGGUCCAUGAGCUAUCAGCUAGUUGGUGAGGUAACGGCUCACCAAGGCGUAGACGGCUAGCGGGUGUGAGAGCACGACCCGCGCCACUGGCACUGAGACACUGGCCAGACACCUACGGGUGGCUGCAGUCGAGGAUCUUCGUCAAUGGGCGCAAGCCUGAACGAGCGAUGCCGCGUGAGCGAUGAAGGCCUUCGGGUUGUAAAGCUCAAAAGAGGUGAGAAAGGGAAACUUGAUCAAACCUCAGUAAGCUCGGGCUAAGUUCGUGCCAGCAGCCGCGGUAAGACGAACCAAGACGAACGUUGUUCGGAAUCACUGGGCUUAAAGGGCGCGUAGGCGGAUUUGCAAGUCCGUGGUGAAAUCCCACAGCUCAACUGUGGAACUGCCUCGGAUACUGUGAGUCUCGAGGGUGGUAGGGGUAUGCGGAACUAUCGGUGGAGCGGUGAAAUGCGUUGAUAUCGAUAGGAACUCCGGUGGCGAAGGCGGCAUACUGGACCACUUCUGACGCUGAGGCGCGAAAGCCAGGGGAGCAAACGGGAUUAGAUACCCCGGUAGUCCUGGCCCUAAACGAUGGGUACUAGCUAGUAGGCUUCACAUGGGUUUACUGGCGAAGCAAGAUCUAAGUACCCCGCCUGGGGAGUAUGGUCGCAAGG
Molecule: ribosomal RNA, 871 nt
Filed under: uncultured bacterium
Lineage: Bacteria
Description: bacterial SSU rRNA
Rfam family: Bacterial small subunit ribosomal RNA
Source: RNAcentral